AGAGCAGCUUUAAUAUUGCAGCAAUUUGGAUGUCUGCAUAAAAGCAGACUUGUUUUUUUUUCUCUCCACUUCUGGCUCCUGGAAAUAAUAUUCUCUUAACCUUUUGGAAUUAAACCAGCCAAAUAGAGUGUAACAUGUUUCUUAAUCAUUUGGGCCACCUUCUCCUUUCUGAAUGGAUGUUGGUUUCAGUGGGAAUGUUUUCUGUGGUUGUGGAUCAUUGAGAAGAUGGUGCUGAUUUGCUCUGGUAAGCUGAAGGAACAACCAGGCACGUGGCAUGAAGUGAAAUAAGGACAAAUGCAAGAGACAUCCUGGAGACAGGCAACUGAGGACAAAGAAAGUCUGUGGGGAAAGGGUGGUGAACCAGGUGCCCACCUGCCAGCAUUAUUGCUGAGGCACAUCUCAGCCAGGCCAUCAAGCUCCAGAUGAUCCUCAGUGAGGGAUACCGCUCUCUCAGUAUUCAAGAGUCACCCUUCCACAGAGAAGCCCUAGACUGCCCAUCAGUGGAAUAUGAGAGAGAGCCAGAGCCUUCAGACCAAGACAAUCGAACAUCCCUGGAUAUCUGAGAUAGCCAGCCUUUCUUCUGGAGAGCUUCCCAGGUGAGCCUGCAGAACAUAUCUGAAAUAUUUCCUGGCCUGUUUAUUUAAAAUUUUGAAAUAUGUAAAAUUCAUCAGAAGUUCUUUCUUUUCUAAGAUGCCUUUCUCCUCUCCUUCAGCUUACAUAGAAACACCCAUGAGCUGUGAAAUUUUCUACUUGUCAUGUGUUUUGAUAUUCGCUGAUAGUUUUAUUUGUGUAUUUCCAAGUUCUUCCUAAAACGCGAAAGCAUGAAGAGGGGAGACAGCGGUCUCUUAGACCAUUGUCUUAGUUUAAAUGUCAAAUUCAUGGUGUUACAAGAUUUCAUGCUACCACGGCUAAGAGAAUUUUAUAAUUGUCAACCCGUUCCCCUGCCCACUCAUUCUCUGCCUGCAAAGGCAUAUCUUUCUUUCUGUAGGAGAGUUCUCCUUUGUCAAAUAGACUUCUCCCAUGACGGGUGGAAUUUGCUUACAUUAAAAAGAUCGGCUCAAGUUGAACCAAAGUAUCUUAGUCAUACUCCUAAUUUUUUAAGACAGGGAAUCUGAUUAACCCAUCUUGACUGAAGGUAAGGGAAGCAAAGCAGUGUUGAACUGAGCAGUGGAAGAGCUUGGGAGGGUGUGAAGGUUAUAGCGAGACAUUCUGCAGAGUAGCUGCAAGAUUUGAUGGAAAUGGAUUGAAGAGAGGAGGGAUUUUUAUAGAUGGUACUGUGGACCAUGUAUUUGAAUUCCCUUUGUGCUUUUUGAGAAAUGCAAUCAAAGAUUUCAGUCUGAAGUUAUAUUUGGUUGCUGGGUUGUGUUUCUGUGAAUAGGAAACUAUUCUAAGAGUGAAACACCUGGAUCUUGGUUUUAUCAAGGCUACAAUAAUGAUUCCAAAUACGUAAAAGCGAAUUUUGUGAAGUGCAACAUAUAAUAAAAUGAUUUUGGAAAUGCAAUGUGAUAGAAAUUAUGAUGGAAUGUUAAAAAGGAAGGAAUAAGCUCCAAGCAAAAAUUGAAUUUUCUUCUUCCACCUUUAUUUCAUUCUUUUUGAGAAAGUACUAUGUACAAUGUAAAGUGUUGUAGGGGAUGCAAAAGAUGAAUAAAGACAUUCUCAUUUGCUUAUAAUUUAAUGGGAGAGAUAAUAUAUCUAGCAGCAAUGAAAAACAAGGAAUGAGGAGAUAAUUGUCAAAAGAAAUAUUUGUUCAGAGUUAUAUGGAUUUUUCUGAAAUAAGAUAUGACAGUGACCUGAAUGGGUAAGAAGGCUUCAAGAGGAGGUCUGAAUGUUUGAGAGUCAGUAGGAUUAAUGGUUGUUGGGGUUGGAAUUGGCAUAAGCAGUAAGGCAGAGGAAAGAGAUCAGCAAAGUUAUAGUAGAAAACGCUUACAUGUGGCGACUCUUUGGAGAAGAGCAGCAAAUGGGCACUUUAGAAUGAAGAAUUAGGUUCAAGAAGGCAAAUGGUCAGUUUUCCAGAAAGAGUUAUAUGAGCUGGAUAAUGAAUGAUCUUAAAUGUCAGGAUAAGAAAUUUGUACCUGCUGCCAUUGGGAGACUUUUGGGAGUCUUUGAAGGCUUUGAUCUGGGGAGUGACAUAAUUUAAGUUAUGCUUUGAUAUAGCACUAGACAAAAGGAAGGACUAUAAAGAACAGUAACAAGAAGUAGCUGAAGAAUGGGGGCAAUUGUGUUAAAAUGGCAGGCAGGUUACCCACAUCUACUUCCUCCUAACAGAAUUCCUUUGAGACAAUACAGAGGGAAUGCUUUCAUAAAAGCAAUGGAAAACAAGGAAGGGUGAUAUGGGUGGAGCAGGGCAUAAACUUUUUAGAUAUUUCUAAAAGAUAUAAAGCAGAGUGGUUGGCUAGAUAGAAAAAGGGAGACCAGAGGAACCAACAGCCCAAAAUAUAAGCAGAAGUUAGGAAUGCUAUCAAGGUAGGAAAAAUUGGGGGACAGUCACACAGGUCUGAAUCAGAGCUGGGUCAAGGUGGGUUGAUCAGGUUCUCUUGUCUAGAAAUUUGGAAGUGAGACUUAGAAAUUUCAGUUUAGGCUGGGCGCGGUGGCUCAUGCCUGUAAUCCCAGCACUUUGGGAGGCUGAGGUGGGUGGAUCACCUGAAGUCAGGAGUUCGAGACCAGCCUGGCCAACGUGGCAAAACCCUGUCUCUACCAAAAAUACAAAAAUUAGCUGGGCAUGGUGGUGCAUGCCUGUAAUCCCAGCUACUUGGGAGACUGAGGCAGGAGAAUUGCUUGAAUCUGGGAGGCGGAGGUUGCAGUGAGCUGAGAUUGUGCCACUGCACUCCAGCCUGGGCGACAGAGCGAAGUUGUUUUCUGUUGAAGUUGUUUUCUGUUACUUGCAUCUGAAUCUUCAUCUAUGUAUGAGUUCUAAGCAAAAGGUGAGAGUUUUUCAAGGAAGUGGAUGAGAAAUAACAGUUAUUUGUUUUUGAAGGGGGUUGUUGAGAAUUGAAGGGCAUUAUCCCUUGUUUGAUAUUGCAUUGAGAGAUGUCAGAAACUAAGGCAACUUCAAAAGCAAUUCAUUUCACCAAUCAUAGGUCAAAUUAAUAUUGUCUGACUGCAGUGAAAGGAACAAAGCCUGCUGGAAAGCAGUCUGUGACAUAUUAAUUAAUAUCAGCUUGUUGACUAAUAGUAUGAGGUGAAUUCCAGUUCGAUAGAACCGUAACCUUAAUCAGUCCCUGGAAAAUUUUCUCUGGCAAAAUUUCUCUGGCUUUAUAUAUUGUUGUUUGUUAUAUUAUUUCUUAAAAUUGAAAAUGGGUUCAAUAUUCCCUUUCCAUCACUUGAAUUCACUGUACCUCCUACCUAGCUCUGGUUUCUUUCUUUGUAUACCAUUGUGGUAUCAAGUAACUUCCAAUAUUUGAAUAUCCAAAGUACAUUCUUCAGACUGCCUUAUUCGCCCUGAAAUAGCACAAAUAUUCUUUGUCAAACUAUGUCCUCUGGUUUUUCAUUUGAAUUAUAGUCUUGUAGUAAAUUCUCCUUUGUGCCAGGCAGAACAAUUUUACCCUCUACCGAGCUCUAAUUUUUCAUUUCAGCCCAUUUUCUGGAGAGAACUGGGGUCACUGGUUAAUGCUGGUUUUAAAACAGCUUUUCAUGCCACAGGCCUUGAACAUCCCUGGCUGUGGAAAAACUUGUGAGGGUGGUUUAUGUGUUUGUUUUCAGAGUCCCUUUCUCAUUGCCUCCUUCCUUCCCCUUUUUUUUAUUUCCCACCUCCCAGCUUUCCUGCAUGUAUCCAGACAGCUUCCUGUCUUCCCAGGGCACUUCUGUGUGGGAGAACUGCUCCCUUUACAUUGCCUUUUACUCCAUGAGUGUUCAGGCUCCAUACCUCUGUCAAAAACAUUUCUGUUUCAUGUCUACACACAUUUUUAGCCAUCAAUGACUGAAAAUAUCUUAGAAUAUUAUGCUGCUGGAAAACCAGUGUACUUCCAACAAGAGUCUUUAGAGUGACUUGUGAGAAUUUCAGGACUGAUGAUAGGAUGGUCAAUGUGUGGACGGUGUAAUGGAGUCAGUCUUUGGUUCAAUCUGUGACCUUCUCUUUGCGAACUGAGCUUUCUCCCAAAUGUCUGCACUGUAUCCUAGGAGUGGGCCCUGGCUGCUUGUCAUGGGCUCACCUGCUGCCAUGCUUUUGCUGAUUACACAGAGUGGGCAACUGAGUCAACCUGCUCCUUUAUCAUGUGAAGUUGAAGGUGGAAGGGUGGCCAUAUUUGCCAAGUGACUGAAAGGAUGAGAACACCAGUCUGAAGGGAGAUGAUGCAAUGACUGAGUGGAGAAGGGCAGAAUGAAGGCAGCAGUGGAGGCCUGGUGGGUUUACCUCCUCCUCAGGCCUUCCUGGGUUCAGCCUCACCCUCCAGCCAGUGUGAUAUACUUGAAAAUGGCAAGCAGGGAUUUGGGUGAUGGCAAUCCUCAACUUCAGAAUUACUCUUCACCUACCUGUUCUAACCAUAAGACUUGUUGAUGACCCUGCUUCUGGCGAUAUUGUGUGGGGUAAAUCCUUUAAAGAAGAAUUCUGUUUAUAUUGGUUAGAAAUAUAAUGGCCUAUAUUAAGUCCAACAGAGCUUAAAGGUAAAAAAAAUAAUAAUGGCUUAUAACUGCUUAUGAGAAAGAGAGAGAACAGAGUUGGCUAAAAAUUUACAGUGUGUGGGUUGGGGACCGAGAUAGCGUCCUGAGAGAAAUGUUGCCUGUAAAAUGAAGUAAAAAUCCAGUAUGGACAGGAGAAAUUUUCAUCUGGGAAUAAUGUGUGGUUUCAGCUGUAAUAAAUACAUCUCUUCUAUUGGGUUCCCUGUUUUGUCUAUUGGGUUCCCUGGAAGUUUCCCUGUUUUGUCUAUGAGCAGCCUAGUUUGGCCUGGUUCCCCAUGCAGACACUAACUUUUUUUUUUUUUUUUCAAAAUAUACAUCUUAAUACGAAGAAGGUUGGGGAGCUUGGACCCAGAAUAAUGGCUGAUAUUUAUUGAGGGCUUA
Molecule: long non-coding RNA, 4995 nt
Filed under: Homo sapiens (human)
Lineage: Eukaryota; Metazoa; Chordata; Mammalia; Primates; Hominidae
Description: non-protein coding lnc-REEP3-2:5
Source: RNAcentral